CAGGGAGUCAGGUGGAAUGAAGCACUUUGAAGCAGCGCCAUCAACAGAAUGAGGAGGAGGAACGAGUGAGCUACAGGCCGGAGCAGUCGACCGUCUCUCUCUGCAAACAACAGGUUUUAGAUCUCCCAGAAAAAAAACAACUCAUGAUUGAUGACACAACAAAUGGAGAGAAAUAAGAAAACUGCUCUGCUGGUUCUUCUCGCUGCGCUUCAAGUCCUCAGCGACAGGAUGGAGGAUUGUCCCGACCAGCCAGUUUCAAAUCUCACUUGCAACACUGACUUCAACCGUUACAUCACUUGUGUGUGGAACAGUGCGUCUGAGCACAGGGAGGCUCAGUGCAGACUUCACGCCAAAAGGUUGGUUAAUAUAGCAAGGGUUAGCAUUAGUCGUGAAUACAGCGCUUCCUGUGACAUGGAGCCCGCUCAUGUGUCCGGACCGGGGCUGAGGAAGUGCACCUUGGUGUUCAAUAUA
This is a long non-coding RNA of Limanda limanda (common dab), 471 nucleotides long. RefSeq lists it as uncharacterized. The record is from RefSeq and is a predicted model, not a curated record. The transcript has 4 exons. NCBI's taxonomy places the organism in Eukaryota, Metazoa, Chordata, Actinopteri, Pleuronectiformes, Pleuronectidae.